CUGCUCCCAGUGUUUUCGUGACAGCAUGUUUUUCCCGAUAUAUUUUAUCCUAUUCUAAGUCCUCCUAUCUCCCGACAGACUCUGCUCUGCUAGUUAUACAUCGGACAGAACCUAAAGUGAAGUGCGGGAUGACUUUGACCAAAGGAAGCUUCCCUGAGGCUGAGGAAGUGUAAGUCUACCAGAUGCAUCAUCAUCUGUGAACUUCCCUGUUUCUUCCCACACAUGAACAAAUGGAUUUGGGAGCACUGUGUUGUAAUAAGUGGGCCCUAAACCCCCAAAUUCUCUACUGGAAGGCACAAGCAACCAGAUUUGCAGUUGGUAUAACGGAGGUCUGAUCUGGAAAGACUCUUGGAAUGCAGGAUGUGCCACUUCCUCUAUGAACAUGUUGGUGGUCUCCAGACAGGAUAAACGAGAAAAAAAGUAGCUACUUCCACUUGCUGCUCAUAGAGGCCAGAUGGCCAGAUGUCUCAGCCACCAUUUGCGGUGGACAGUUAUUUUGAGUCAGUCACAUGCUGUGCUAGAUCUGGGUAGGAUUUAAUAUCCUUGUUACUGUAGGGAAAAAAGAUCUGUGACCCCAUCUCUUCUGUGUGCCAGGGUCUACUAGAGGAAGAGCUAUGGCUACGCAUGGAUGUGCUUUGGUAACCUAAGCACAAACCAGAAAAGAAAUAAUGAUUUCAGGCAGUGAUUUACAGAAACUCUGUGAAGGCAUGUCCACAGGAUCAAGAGACCCCUGAGCUAAGAAAAACCUCUUACCUACUGCAAACCUUGGCUGUGCUGCUUCCCAGAUGGUUACGUUCAAAUGGUGAGUGUUCCCACACUUAGCUCAUGGGUCUAAAAACAAAGUUUAUUUAAUGCAGAAACAGUGCAAGUGAAUCUUAUUGUUUUAUUUUUGAGUUGUGCUUGGCCUCCUUCACAAUUUAUGUCUUUUCUGUACAAAGGCAGGGUGGGAUCCAGCUGCUCCACAGACAAGCUGUCACACAGCUGGCCACCUAAACCACACUGGGCCGUGCUGGUAAAGAAAAUUUCUGGCUGGUUCUUCCCGGUUAUCCUGGCAGGCUGUGUGUUUGUUUCAUGAACUUUAAGAUCUUUAAAUAUUUACUUGGCUCUUUGCUUUCCUAUUAGAAAAUGGUGAGGCAGUUUGUUUCUAAUAUCUGCCAGGAUCUCUUCAGCUUGUGAGGUUACCUUUCCUUAAAUUACUGAGCAUGAUCUUUACAGAGAGGGAUGAGGAAGAGGUCACGCCGCUGUAAGGGUGAACCCGAACCUCAGAUCAAACAACGCUGUGUUGGUGUUGAAGCUACAGAGUCAUCCUGGGGUUGUAUUUUCAAAGCGUCUCUGAGGAGUUACACUCCAUUUUAAAUCCCAUUAAAAAUUAGCAGCCUUGUUAAACAUCUCUCUCUCUCCGUGGUAUUUUCAUAGUGUCGCUCAGCAGGAAAGGGAGGCUAAUGGGGGCGAGCAGGAAGAAGCACCAUCACAGCUGAAAUCCUGGCCCCUAAAAGAAGGUUGCUCUUUCUGGAGAUGGGAUAUGGUGUUGCGAGCCCCCAGUGUAGGGGUCCUCUCCCCCACCCCCACCUUAAGCCAUAACCACCAGUGGGGGUGGUGAUGGCUGCAUUAGGCUUAGGCUCGACUUUGGGGGACAGAUGGCAACGUGGCUGUCUGGAACAGUGACCCAGACAACUUGCUGGCUUGCAGAUGUCAGUCAAUCAUCUUGCUCUAUAAAUAGGGGAGAGUCCAGGGCCGUUGAGCUCUCCUGCGCAGCAGCAGGCUGCUCGCCAGGAUCUCCCUUUGAGCAGGGACGCCCCUCAAGGUUACUCCUCGAGCUGAGAGAGUCCUUGCCACAACAGAUCCUCAGUAAGUGACUAAUAGCAUGCUAAACUUUGAAAUCUUAGCUAAGUGAUAUAAAGGAUUGAUUGCGCAUACAUAAUCCUUUGGACAUAAACUGUUGAUCGUCUGGGAUUAGGAUUGUAUCCAGGCUCACCUAGACUCCUCUCUGAGUAGGAGUUCAGAAAGCAAGAGGGUCCUUUCUGAACCUCAUGACUCAAUGGGAGAGUCUCCCUGACAGUUUUGUCUGACCCCAUCCUCUAUGCAGUAAAUAAUCCAGUGUAAUUUACCAUCGAAUCUUGUUAAACCA
Molecule: long non-coding RNA, 2128 nt
Organism: Grus americana (Whooping crane)
Lineage: Eukaryota; Metazoa; Chordata; Aves; Gruiformes; Gruidae
Exons: 3
Source: RefSeq, a predicted model, not a curated record